GAAGCCCAGCUUGCUGGGUGGAUUAGUGGCGAACGGGUGAGUAACACGUGAGUAACCUGCCCUUGACUCUGGGAUAAGCACUGGAAACGGUGUCUAAUACCGGAUAUUUCAGCUGGCCGCAUGGUCUGGUUGUGGAAAGAAUUUUGGUCAAGGAUGGACUCGCGGCCUAUCAGGUUGUUGGUGAGGUAAUGGCUCACCAAGCCUACGACGGGUAGCCGGCCUGAGAGGGUGACCGGCCACACUGGGACUGAGACACGGCCCAGACUCCUACGGGAGGCAGCAGUGGGGAAUAUUGCACAAUGGGCGAAAGCCUGAUGCAGCAACGCCGCGUGAGGGACGACGGCCUUCGGGUUGUAAACCUCUUUUAGUAGGGAAGAAGCGAAAGUGACGGUACCUGCAGAAAAAGCACCGGCUAACUACGUGCCAGCAGCCGCGGUAAUACGUAGGGUGCAAGCGUUGUCCGGAAUUAUUGGGCGUAAAGAGCUCGUAGGCGGUUUGUCGCGUCUGCUGUGAAAACUGGAGGCUCAACCUCCAGCCUGCAGUGGGUACGGGCAGACUAGAGUGCGGUAGGGGAGAUUGGAAUUCCUGGUGUAGCGGUGGAAUGCGCAGAUAUCAGGAGGAACACCGAUGGCGAAGGCAGAUCUCUGGGCCGUAACUGACGCUGAGGAGCGAAAGCAUGGGGAGCGAACAGGAUUAGAUACCCUGGUAGUCCAUGCCGUAAACGUUGGGAACUAAAUGUGGGGGCCAUUCCACGGUCUCCGUGUCGCACUAACGCAUNANUUCCCCCCUGGGGAGUACGGCCCCAGGCUAAACUCAAAGGAUUGACGGGGCCCNCACANCGNCGGACCNGCGAUUAUUCNAUGCCA
This 866-nucleotide ribosomal RNA is filed under the name Agreia sp. RNAcentral describes it as "bacterial SSU rRNA". It matches the Rfam family "Bacterial small subunit ribosomal RNA", at positions 70 to 959 of the family's 1533-position model. The record is from RNAcentral. Lineage: Bacteria; Bacillati; Actinomycetota; Actinomycetes; Micrococcales; Microbacteriaceae.